UACGGGGGGGGUAAGCGUUGUUCGGAAUUACUGGGCGUAAAGCGCAUGUAGGCUGCUUGGAAAGUCGGAUGUGAAAGCCCUGGGCUCAACCCAGGAAGUGCACUCGAAACUUCCAAGCUCGAGUCCUGGAGAGGGUGGCGGAAUUCUCGGUGUAGAGGUGAAAUUCGUAGAUAUCGAGAGGAACACCGGUGGCGAAGGCGGCUACCUGGACAGUGACUGACGCUGAGAUGCGAAAGCGUGGGGAGCAAACAGG
Molecule: ribosomal RNA, 253 nt
Filed under: uncultured bacterium
Lineage: Bacteria
Description: partial 16S ribosomal RNA
Rfam family: Bacterial small subunit ribosomal RNA
Source: RNAcentral